UACGGAGGGUGCAAGCGUUAUCCGGAUUUACUGGGUUUAAAGGGUGCGUAGGCGGGUUUUUAAGUCAGUGGUGAAAGCCUCGAGCUCAACUCGAGAACUGCCAUUGAAACUGGAAACCUUGAGUAUAGUUGAGGUGGGCGGAAUGUAUCAUGUAGCGGUGAAAUGCUCAGAUAUGAUAUAGAACACCUAUUGCGAAGGCAGCUCACUAAACUAUCACUGACGCUGAGGCACGAAAGCGUGGGGAGCGAACAGG
Molecule: ribosomal RNA, 253 nt
Filed under: uncultured bacterium
Lineage: Bacteria
Description: partial 16S ribosomal RNA
Rfam family: Bacterial small subunit ribosomal RNA
Source: RNAcentral